GAAUAGUUUUAUAAGUGUGUAUUGUCUUGAUGUUAAGGGAAGUGAGGUGCAAGUCCUCCGCUGCCCCGCAGCCGUGAAGGGAACGAAAGCCCAAAUACAACCACUGUUAUGGGUAAUGCCAUAAUGGGAAGGUGGGCAAGUAGAUAGCCCUUAAGCCGGAAGACCUAUCAGACAAGAACAAAAAAU
Molecule: non-coding RNA, 186 nt
Organism: Deltaproteobacteria bacterium GWC2_42_11
Lineage: Bacteria; Deltaproteobacteria
Source: Rfam